This 272-nucleotide long non-coding RNA is filed under the name Elaeis guineensis (African oil palm). RNAcentral's name for it is "long non-coding RNA (EGUI_LNC040984)". The record is from RNAcentral. Lineage: Eukaryota; Viridiplantae; Streptophyta; Magnoliopsida; Arecales; Arecaceae.
GAGGGAGUGGGGGUCUGGAAUCAGAAUCGAAAUAGAUGACUUCCAUUCUAACCGUUUGGUUAGGAGGAGUCUGAUUCUGAUUUCGGAUGGAAAUGGGAAUGACUCAAUCUAUAUAGAACUCAAUUCCUACUCUCCUUUAUGGAUUCAAAUUUUCAUUAUAAUUUCGAUUCCGAUUUCGAUUUCAAACACGAACCAAACGUUUCGAAAAAUUUGACAAUUCCGAUUCCGAUUCCAAGUCAUUCCAAUUCCCAUUCUUAUUCUAGUUACAAACC